GCGGGUGUAACUCAAUGGUAGAGUGCCAGCUUCCCAAGCUGGUUACGUGGGUUCGAUUCCCAUCACCCGCUCCA
Molecule: transfer RNA, 74 nt
Filed under: Verrucomicrobia bacterium ADurb.Bin345
Lineage: Bacteria; Pseudomonadati; Verrucomicrobiota
Also listed under: 5 other names
Description: tRNA-Gly
Rfam family: tRNA
About the family: Transfer RNA (tRNA) molecules are approximately 80 nucleotides in length.
Source: RNAcentral